RNAcentral lists this ribosomal RNA (263 nucleotides) under uncultured bacterium. Its description in RNAcentral is "partial 16S ribosomal RNA". It matches the Rfam family "Bacterial small subunit ribosomal RNA", at positions 793 to 1055 of the family's 1533-position model. The record is from RNAcentral.
GUCCACGCCGUAAACGAUGAGCACUAGCUGUCGGGGGUAUCGACCCCCUCGGUAGCGCAGCUAACGCGAUAAGUGCUCCGCCUGGGGACUACGGCCGCAAGGCUAAAACUCAAAGGAAUUGACGGGGGCCCGCACAAGCAGCGGAGCGUGCGGUUUAAUUCGAAGCUACGCGAAGAACCUUACCAGGGCUUGACAUGGGCAGGACCGCCGGUGAAAGCCGGUUUCCCUUCGGGGCCUGUUCACAGAUGCUGCAUGGCUGUCGU